Molecule: long non-coding RNA, 451 nt
Filed under: Chinchilla lanigera (long-tailed chinchilla)
Lineage: Eukaryota; Metazoa; Chordata; Mammalia; Rodentia; Chinchillidae
Description: lncRNA (ENSCLAG00000028900.1)
Source: RNAcentral
UGCUAAAAUUCAGAGCACUCUGGCCCAACUCUGAGAAAGCAGCUGUCAAAGGAAUUAAUCAAACAGAAAGGAAGCAAUUUGUACAAAAAUAUUUACAUCGGCUCUAUUUUACAAAGAGAAAAUAUGGAAAACAACUUAAGACCACAGAUUUGGAAAUCACUGCGGAAUACUGCGAAGGCAUUGCAAAAGAUGAGAAAGUUGAGAUCCUGGCUGGGAAUUUCAAACUCAGGCAUCUGGAGCUGUCCUAUGGAGCCACUAAAGAAAAGGCAAAAGAAAAAAAGAAAAGAAAAAUAAGAAAAAAUAAUUUGACAACUAUUUCUUUGCAUGGAUUUCCUUUGCAUUUAAUCCCAAAGGACACUACUUGUGCUAUAUUUUUCAUCUUAUUUUAUAAUAAAGCAAUUUUGAUCAUUUUGUACGCAAAUAUAUUUUGUUAGUGUUUUUAACCUUUUCA